This 292-nucleotide ribosomal RNA is filed under the name uncultured bacterium. RNAcentral's name for it is "partial 16S ribosomal RNA". It matches the Rfam family "Bacterial small subunit ribosomal RNA", at positions 505 to 796 of the family's 1533-position model. The record is from RNAcentral.
GUGUCAGCCGCCGCGGUAAUACAGAGACUGCAAGCGUUAUUCGGAUUCACUGGGCGUAAAGGGUGCGCAGGCGGCUAAGUGUGUCAGAUGUGAAAUCCCGAGGCUCAACCUCGGAACUGCGUCUGAAACUACUUGGCUAGAGUAUUGGAGAGGGUAACGGAAUUCACGGUGUAGCAGUGAAAUGCGUAGAUAUCGUGAGGAACACCAGAGGCGAAGGCGGUUACCUGGACAAUUACUGACGCUCAGGCACGAAAGCGUGGGGAGCAAAAGGGAUUAGAAACCCCAGUAGUCC